Molecule: ribosomal RNA, 771 nt
Filed under: uncultured eukaryote
Lineage: Eukaryota
Description: SSU rRNA
Rfam family: Eukaryotic small subunit ribosomal RNA
Source: RNAcentral
AGCAACUAUACGGUGAAACUGCGAAUGGCUCAUUAAAUCAGUUAUCGUUUAUUUGAUAGUACUUCACUACAUGGACAACUGUGGUAAUUCUAGAGCUAAUACAUGCUAAAAACCCCGACUUCGGGAGAGGUGUAUUUAUUAGAUAAAAAACCAACGCCCUCCGGGGCUCCUUGGUGAAUCAUAAUAACUUAACGAAUCGCAUGGCCUUGAGCCGGCGAUGGUUCAUUCAAAUUUCUGCCCUAUCAACUUUCGAUGGUAGGAUAGUGGCCUACCAUGGUCUCAACGGGUAACGGGGAAUUAGGGUUCGACUCCGGAGAGGGAGCCUGAGAAACGGCUACCACAUCCAAGGAAGGCAGCAGGCGCGCAAAUUACCCAAUCCCGACACGGGGAGGUAGUGACAAUAAAUACUGAUACAGGGCUCUUUCGGGUCUUGUAAUUGGAAUGAGUACAAUUUAAAUCCCUUAACGAGGAACAAUUGGAGGGCAAGUCUGGUGCCAGCAGCCGCGGUAAUUCCAGCUCCAAUAGCGUAUAUUAAAGUUGUUGCAGUUAAAAAGCUCGUAGUUGAACCUUGGGCCUGGCUGGCCGGUCCGCCUCACCGCGUGUACUGGUCCGGCCGGGCCUUUCCUUCUGGGGAACCACAUGGCCUUCACUGGCCGUGUCGGGGAACCAGGACUUUUACUUUGAAAAAAUUAGAGUGUUCAAAGCAGGCCUUUGCUCGAAUACAUUAGCAUGGAAUAAUAGAAUAGGACGUGCGGUUCUAUUUUGUUGGUU